RNAcentral lists this unclassified non-coding RNA (2991 nucleotides) under uncultured fungus. Its description in RNAcentral is "sequence contains 18S rRNA gene, ITS1, 5.8S rRNA gene, ITS2, 28S rRNA gene". The stretch from base 1607 to 2991 matches the Rfam family "Eukaryotic large subunit ribosomal RNA", at positions 1 to 961 of the family's 3401-position model. Lineage: Eukaryota; Fungi. The record is from RNAcentral.
GGAAGGAUCAUUAACACACACAAGUUGCCAAAAAACUGCAAUUCACAUACAUUUGUCGGGAAAUCGCCCCUUUUGAGCUAUCGCGAAGUUCAACUGCUUGGGCGGUACGAGUUAUAUCAAUACGUCAAGGUCCUCCGUUUGUAAGGUUGUCGCGGACGUUACAGACGGGAUGUACGCAAACUGCAAAUAGUCAUUUUUCAGCAAUGCCUUUUUGCCCCAAACCAUCGAGACCGAAAUGGGAAGACAGCGUCGGAAUCCAAACAUACACAUGAGAUCAAACUGUGAGAAAUGAAUAACUAUGAAAGACAACUCCUUACGGUGGAUGUCUCGGUUCUCGCGAGGAUGAAGAACGCAGCGAAAUGCGAUACGUGGUGCGAAUCGCAGGAACCAGCGAGUCAUCGAGUUUUUGAACGCACAUCGCGCCCCUGGUAUUCCUGGGGGCACGCCUGCCCGAGUGCCGCCGCCCGACACGAAAGAAAAAAAUUCGCAAGUCUUUUCUUCUUUCGUUUCGAAGCGAGGAGCCUAUCGCCCCGCAAGGGACGGAACCGAACGUUGCUUGGCCUUUCGAGCUGAGCAUCGUUCCAGAUAUUGAUGGGUUUGGAGUCAUCUUGGUCUGUUGUCUGGGUCUUGUUAGUGGUUGGUUGGUUUUCUAGUCGGUUGUCCGUUCGACUCUUUGUUCGGUUCGUUUGUUGGUCGUUUCCAAAGUUGAUGUCUGUCCACUAGUUGGGCGGUCUUCUUCUUCUUCUUUGAGGUCUGCAAAGUCUUGGUGUCGAGGUGAGUUGUCGACUGGGUGAGUUGAUGGUCGGAGGGGUUAGCCCUGAGCCGACACUUUGAUCGCUCUUUUACGGAGCGUUCCAAGUGCGUCAGACAGAGGGAAGGUCUGCUCGUGCAGUUGGAGGAGUGAUACUUGUCCGCAACGCGUUUUCGUCUGGCCUUCUUGAUGGAGGCUCGGACUGCUGCGAAGCGUCUCAAGUGAGGAAAGAGUAAGCAAAUUCAUUUUUGCAGAAAAGUCCUUGCUGCUUCGUGGUCGUUUGAGUCUUCUAUCAACAAGUCGGCCAAGUGAAUUCGCAGCGCGCCGAGUCUUUCUUCGCCUUCUGUGUGGGUUGACGCCUUCGGUCUGCUCGACUCGGAGCUUUCCUUAGUCAUGUUCGCAUGGCCUCCUUCCUUUGUCUCGCUCGGGCUGACUCGCUUCGAAACAUCGCCAAGACUUUGCUCUCCACUUUGCAGAAGUCGUCGACUCGUCCUUCUUUUGGCUGAACGACUCUGAGGAUCUUGACUAGCGAAAGAAAAGUGCAAAGUCAGAAAGACGGGCAGCUCAUGCCGACUGGAAAGCAACUUCAACUUUCUGCGUGCUUCGCUUCCCAGCGAAGCGACGAGACUUGGCAAAAAUUUACCAAAGUGCUUCACAAUUCCCAUGACAAAGUCACAAACUUUUUUGCAAAAACAAUCCGGGUGUUUACUUCGCAGUUGUCGCAAGUCUUCCAAGUCGACGGGAUGCACUUUUUACUAAGGGCGGACUGUCUUCCUAAGUUGACGACCGACGUUCCGUGAGGCAAAACAUUUUUCUCUCUUUUUUUCACAAAGGGAGAAUAUCCACUUAUGGACCCGGCCUCGGGUCAGGCGGCAUUACCCGCCGGACUUAAGCAUAUCAUUAAGCGGAGGAAAAGAAACCAACAGGAUCCCCUCAGUAGCGGCGAGCGAAGCGGGAAAAGCUCAGGUUUGAAAUCCGGGUGUGCGUCAAUGGUCGUUGUUCGCGCAGCGGCCAACCAUCGCGACACCCCGAAUUGUAGCCUCACCAGGCCAGACAUCGGGAAGUGGAUGGGCUGCAGACAGAGAUCUCCUGGAAAGGAGUACCAGAGAGGGUGACAGUCCCGUACAUCGGUCUGCAGAGGGUUAACCCAUCACUUGUUCUCUUUACUUCCUUCUUCCUGUCAAAGGGAAGGGGGGAAUGGGGAGCCGUACGGAUUUUGUUGGCCUCAGAGUCGGGUUGCUUGGGAAUGCAGCCCAAAGCGGGUGGUAAGUCUCACCCAAAGCUAAAUACAUGGCGAGAGACCGAUAGCGAACAAGUACCGCGAGGGAAAGAUGAAAAGGACCCUGAGAAGAGAGUCAAAAGCGCCUGAAACCGUAGGGAGGGAAGCGAUGGAUGCCGGCGAUCCGUUGCUGGGCGCCGUCCGUGGCGCGCGUGUGGGGGCUCGGCGGGCUGUUGCGAACCGAUAUCACAAGAUGGAGUGCUCCUGUCUGUUGCCAUGCGUUGGGCGUCGCAAGGCGUUUGGCGUGUGGUCGGGGGGCGCCCCAGUUCGUCAGUUGGUGUCCUGCGUGCGCGCUGCGGGUGCGGCCUCGGCUUUGACGGGCCAGCACCAGUUCGUUUGGCGGCGGCAGGCUAUGGAGCAUUCUUUUAACGGGCCCGCGGGUGGGUAUCCAUCCCCACUUGCGAAGCCGGCUUUGUAGUUGGGCCGUCGAACGGAUUGUGGGAUUGUUGCGAGCGUGCGCCCUCCUUUGGGCGGAGGGCUGGGGCGUCGGCGCGAGCCCAUGGGCGAGGACCGGCAACCGGUGCUAGCUUAUGUUGGAGCGUGCCUAGCGUCUCGGCCGUCUUCCGGCACGCUGCGAGUUGCUGGCAGGGACGGCAUUCACCGACCCGUCUUGAAACACGGACCAAGGAGUCUAACGCGUGUGCGAGCGCAAGGGUGGCAAACCCAAUUGUAUCUGCGCGGAGCGAAAGCAAGGCACGAUGGUCACGCGUCGUGCGUGGCAGGAAGGGGUUUGGGGCUUCGGCCUGGGCUUCGGCACUGCCGACCGAUCCGGAUUCUUGAUUGAAGGACUCGAGUAGAAGUGCACUCGUUGGGACCCGAAAGAUUGUGAACUAUGGGCGACCAGGAUGAAGCCAGAGGAAACUCUGGUGGAGGUCCGAAGCGAUACUGACGUGCAAAUCGUUCGUCUGAGUUGUCUAUAGGGGCGAAAGACUAAUCGAACAAUCUAGUAGCUGGUUCCCUC